CCUACGGGUGGCAGCAGUGGGGAAUAUUGCACAAUGGGGGAAACCCUGAUGCAGCGACGCCGCGUGAGUGAAGAAGUAUUUCGGUAUGUAAAGCUCUAUCAGCAGGAACGAGACAAGACGGUACCUGACUAAGAAGCCCCGGCUAACUACGUGCCAGCAGCCGCGGUAAUACGUAGGGGGCAAGCGUUAUCCGGAAUCACUGGGUGGAAAGGGAGCGUAGACGGCUGAGCAAGCCUGAAGUGAAAGGCGGGGGCCCAACCCCCGGACUGCUUUGGGAACUGUACGGCUGGAGUGCAGGAGAGGUAAGUGGAAUUCCUAGUGUAGCGGUGAAAUGCGUAGAUAUUAGGAGGAACACCAGUGGCGAAGGCGGCUUACUGGACUGUAACUGACGUUGAGGCUCGAAAGCGUGGGGAGCAAACAGGAUUAGAUACCCCUGUAGUC
This 441-nucleotide ribosomal RNA is filed under the name uncultured bacterium. RNAcentral describes it as "partial 16S ribosomal RNA". It matches the Rfam family "Bacterial small subunit ribosomal RNA", at positions 338 to 795 of the family's 1533-position model. The record is from RNAcentral.